AUACGUAGGGUGCGAGCGUUGUCCGGAAUUACUGGGCGUAAAGAGCUCGUAGGUGGUUUGUCGCGUCGUCUGUGAAAUUCCGGGGCUUAACUCCGGGCGUGCAGGCGAUACGGGCAUAACUUGAGUACUGUAGGGGAGACUGGCAUUCCUGGUGUAGCGGUGAAAUGCGCAGAUAUCAGGAGGAACACCGGUGGCGAAGGGGGGUCUCUGGGCAGUAACUGACGCUGAGGAGCGAAAGCAUGGGUAGCGAACAGGAUUAGAUACCCUGGUAGUCCAUGCCGUAAACGUUGGGCGCUAGGUGUAGGGGUCUUCCACGACUUCUGUGCCGUAGCUAACGCAUUAAGCGCCCCGCCUGGGGAGUACGGCCGCAAGGCUAAAACUUAAAGGAAUUGACGGGG
This 398-nucleotide ribosomal RNA is filed under the name uncultured bacterium. RNAcentral describes it as "partial 16S ribosomal RNA". It matches the Rfam family "Bacterial small subunit ribosomal RNA", at positions 523 to 918 of the family's 1533-position model. The record is from RNAcentral.